This 447-nucleotide ribosomal RNA is filed under the name uncultured bacterium. RNAcentral's name for it is "bacterial SSU rRNA". It matches the Rfam family "Bacterial small subunit ribosomal RNA", at positions 355 to 825 of the family's 1533-position model. The record is from RNAcentral.
UGGGGAAUCUUGGACAAUGGGCGCAAGCCUGAUCCAGCCAUGCCGCGUGAGUGAUGAAGGCCUUAGGGUUGUAAAGCUCUUUUGCCGGGGACGAUAAUGACGGUACCCGGAGAAUAAGUCCCGGCUAACUUCGUGCCAGCAGCCGCGGUAAUACGAAGGGGACUAGCGUUGUUCGGAAUCACUGGGCGUAAAGCGCACGUAGGCGGAUUUGUAAGUCAGGGGUGAAAUCCCGGGGCUCAACCUCGGAACUGCCUUUGAUACUGCGGAUCUCGAGUCCGAUAGAGGUGAGUGGAAUUCCUAGUGUAGAGGUGAAAUUCGUAGAUAUUAGGAAGAACACCGGUGGCGAAGGCGGCCCACUGGCUCGAUACUGACGCUGAGGUGCGAAAGCGUGGGGAGCAAACAGGAUUAGAUACCCCCGUAGUCCCUGAGCGGGCUGGCAAGGCGCAU